RNAcentral lists this long non-coding RNA (1445 nucleotides) under Heterocephalus glaber (naked mole-rat). Its description in RNAcentral is "lncRNA (ENSHGLG00100050947.1)". The record is from RNAcentral. Lineage: Eukaryota; Metazoa; Chordata; Mammalia; Rodentia; Bathyergidae.
CCUUCACAGCCAGAAAGGCAGGCACCCCUGUGCUCCCAGCACCUAAGGUGCCUGGCAGAGAAUGAUGUGCUGAAGGAGCACAUGAAUGAAUGCUUGAAUGAACAAAUGAAUGAGUCCUGGAAGAAUGAGAAGCUCAUAAUGAAAGUGCCCGAGGCAUCCUAUUCUCCACCCCCCUGAACCAUAGAUGAUCCCUGCCUCCAUCCCGUCUGUCUGUUAUGGCUUGUGUUUAGAUGUGCCCCCAAAGCUUCUCAUGGUCAUAGGUAGAGGUGGCCGGAUCUACAGUGUGUGAUGCUGGAAUUGAUUUAUGGCGCAAUGCUAGGAUCAAGGGCAGUAGGACUAAGGGCAUGAGUGCUACCUGCCCUAAGUAGCCUGGAUAAGACAUAAGAGGUAGAAAGAGCUGUGGCCGUCCCUUGUUGCUCUACUACCUUCUGCCCACCACGAACUGUUUCUUCUCUGCCAUGCCACCCUGCCUUGGAGCCAGCCGAUUAUGGACUGACACCUCUACCAACUCAGCAAAGAGGAAGAAGAAACGAGCUCACAGGAGACCGCCACCGCUGGGCCAACAACUCUGGCUGCACCUGGCUGUCUCUCUAGAAGGGUGGUGCAUCUUUUCUCCCUCUCUCCCUCCCCAGCAGUCACUGGCUGUGCAGACAUUUUCCAAAGAAAAACCUGGAGGCCAAAAAAAUUGCAGGUGGGAAAUCUGCCUGUCAGCUCAGAGGAUUCUAGUCCCGCAGCUACCCAAAUCUUCUUGCAGAGAGACGGAGGCUGUGCUAAGCCCCGAGUUUAUGGGAAGCUCCUUGGUGCUUCGUGACACUUUGCUCAGCUCUUCUGGAGCUAAGGCUGGAAGGGAAAUCAUUUCUUUUCCUAUAAUUCAGAGCAAUUAUAUUCUCUUAAUGCUGACAUCUGGCUCGCUGCUGCUCUCCUUGCUUACAUUUUCCAAACCUUAUCAGUUCUGGGAAGAUCAAUUAUUACUGAAAAGUUGAGAAAUGCUCACUGGUUAUUUGCAUUGAUUUGGUUGACAAGGCACAGGCUUCUUUUGAACUACCGAUGUCUACGGAGGGGACCCGGAGGAGAAAAACACAUGAAUCUGGGGCAGCUAGGGUUUGAAGCCCCCAUCCCACUGCAGGGGCCAUGGAAGGUAGAAAGCUGUGUUCAGGAUGGGGACACUCUGCCACCCUCCCUAAGAACCCCAACAAAACCAUUUCCAUAAAGACAAAUGGGAAGCCAGGGUCGGCCAGCGCCACAAGCAGCCGCCACGAUAUAAUUGGCCUGUUACUGCAUCAUCUUUAAUCAAUAGGAUCCGGAGUUUCCUCAGCUUGGACAGCCCAAAUCUCUCUGGCAGCCAAGAAACAGCGGGUUGUUAAAAGGCCCAAUAGUUGUGCCUCGCUAAUGGGUGGCUUGUUCCCUCAACCCCGCUGACUUUUUAAAUAAACCUAAAUUCCAAU